Molecule: long non-coding RNA, 1291 nt
Organism: Fukomys damarensis (Damara mole-rat)
Lineage: Eukaryota; Metazoa; Chordata; Mammalia; Rodentia; Bathyergidae
Exons: 6
Source: RefSeq, a predicted model, not a curated record
AGGUCCCGCCCACCCAGCUCUACGUGCAAUGUCUUAGGAAAAGGUUGUGAGUUGGAUCUCGUUCUUGCCCUUCAGUUCACUUUACUUCUAAGGGGAAGAAAAAAGGUCGAAAUGUUUGGAAGUUUCCAUGACUGGUUUUGGUUUAAAAGGGAAAUCUGCCUAGUAGAACUGGUCCAGCUUUUGGAAUCCGACUCCGCCUGUUCAGCUGCAUUUUCUUGCGUACAUCCAGUUGAACAGCUCCACCCUUUGUUGUAGGUAUUUACCUGUAGAAAAAGUGCGCAAAAGACAUGAAAAUGAGCAAGGGAGCGCAAAAGGGUAAAGUAUCUGAAUAAGAAGCAGACUUUGGGGGAAACGGAGGGAUUCAGGUGUGCAAUUCCAGCCACAGAUAAGAAUUUUAUAAAGGCUCAAUUUUUAAAAAAGAACCCGGCUGAUUCUGUUCCUUAGAAUAAACCGCCUAGGAGGUAUGAAAUUUUAUUGUGUGGCACCACGUCCGUGUCUGUGGAAACUUUGCUGCUGGAGAUGAUGUGCUGGCCCCUGCCCCUGCCUGGCGUGGUGUGGACACGAGGGACGCUGAUGUGGGACUGCUGAGCCCUGGGACUGAGGGACUGAGCCCUGGGUGGGGUCCUGGGGUACGGUAAUCCCUGUGCCUCGGCCUACACCAGGCUUCAGUCCAUCCACAACCACGCUUUGCUUCCCCGUGGCAAAGGUGCAAAAAGGCCCAGGUUAAUGGACGUGUUUCUCUUGGUUAGCAGGGGAGCAUUGAGAGGAAUCAAGCAUCGCUUCAGGGAAAUUCAAGUCCCUGAAUCCAGGGACCCAGAAGAGGCUGCUCCUGUCCUUCCAGUGACGCCAGAGGGCCACUGCAGGCCCUCACCCUCCAGAUGGUCAGUCAUCCCCAUGGCAUUGUCGCCACCUCGUGGCCAUUGUGGCCGUGGCCCACACCAGGCAUACCCGCUAUCCUGCAAGAGCCUGCCUGAGGAGGCUGUGGCAGGAACAUCUGCUCUGUUUUGAUCAACUUCUGAAUGUGGGCACAGUCUCUGCUGAAGGACAGGAACCUAAUUCCGGUAAGGGCAGGUGAGUUUCACAAGGACCAACACUUCUCUCCACUUUUGCUUUUUGUGAUGUUUUUACCUCCCUGACUCUUGCCAGCUGCUCCCUACCCCCCAUUCACUACUUGGACGCCUCAGUUAUGUAGGGCCAUUGUUAAAUAAAGCCCAUUUUCACUGCUUUGACUUGUGCCUGGCUGGUUUAUCUUUGACAUACUAGAAAAAGCCACACUUAUUUGUUUCCUCUG